CCAACAGGGAUUGCCUCAGUAACGGCGAGUGAAGCGGCAACAGCUCAAAUUUGAAAUCUGGCCCCAGGCCCGAGUUGUAAUUUGCAGAGGAUGCUUUUGGUGCGGUGCCUUCCAAGUUCCCUAGAACGGGACGCCAGAGAGGGUGAGAGCCCCGUACAGUUGGACACCAAGCCUUUGUAAAGCUCCUUCGACGAGUCGAGUAGUUUGGGAAUGCUGCUCAAAAUGGGAGGUAUAUUUCUUCUAAAGCUAAAUACCGGCCAGAGACCGAUAGCGCACAAGUAGAGUGAUCGAAAGAUGAAAAGCACUUUGAAAAGAGGGUUAAACAGCACGUGAAAUUGUUAAAAGGGAAGCGCUUGUGACCAGACUUGCGUCCGGUGAAUCACCCAGCUCUCGCGGCUGGGGCACUUCGCCGGCUCAGGCCAGCAUCAGCUCGCUGUCGGGGACAAAAGCUUCAGGAACGUAGCUCUCUUCGGGGAGUGUUAUAGCCUGUUGCACAAUACCCUUCGGCGGGCUGAGGUACGCGCUCCGCAAGGAUGCUGGCAUAAUGGUCAUCAGCGACCCGUCUUGAAACACGGACCAAGGAGUCAACCUUAUGUGCGAGUGUUCGGGUGUCAAACCCCUACGCGUAAUGAAAGUGAACGCAGGUGAGAGCUUCGGCGCAUCAUCGACCGAUCCUGAUGUUCUCGGAUGGAUUUGAGUAAGAGCAUAUAGGGUUGGACCCGAAAGAAGGUGAACUAUGCGUGUAUAGGGUGAAGCCAGAGGAAACUCUGGUGGAGGCUCGCAGCGGUUCUGACGUGCAAAUCGAUCGUCAAAUAUGCGCAUGGGGGCGAAAGACUAAUCGA
Molecule: ribosomal RNA, 842 nt
Filed under: Colletotrichum gloeosporioides
Lineage: Eukaryota; Fungi; Ascomycota; Sordariomycetes; Glomerellales; Glomerellaceae
Description: LSU rRNA
Rfam family: Eukaryotic large subunit ribosomal RNA
Source: RNAcentral